This 1424-nucleotide long non-coding RNA is filed under the name Theobroma cacao (cacao). Its description in RNAcentral is "long non-coding RNA (TCAC_LNC003130)". Lineage: Eukaryota; Viridiplantae; Streptophyta; Magnoliopsida; Malvales; Malvaceae. The record is from RNAcentral.
GUGCCUCUCAUAUUGAGGUAUGAAUAUAAUAGGGUUCCCGUGCCCCCUCUAAUAGGCUAGUCCACGGAACCCGUCCACUGCAGCGACUAAUCAAUAACCCACCAAUUCAAUAAAAUUUAACAGCAUGACAUGGAAAUUUUAUCACAAUCCAGCCUAUCAAGGCAAACAACAGUUUAUACAUUUUCAACACAAAUACCAAUUCAACCAUUCAUGCCAAUAUUGCCAUAAGCCAAUCAAUUAGAACCAUAAAUUCACAAUACAUCAAAUGGUCUCCAAUUACUCUAUUUUCAAAGCUAUCAUUCAAUUUUGAGACAAUUUAUAAAAUCAUUUCAUUUAAACACAUUUUGUUUAUAAAACAUAAAGAUUUACCAUUUAAACUCAUUUUUCUAUCAAAUCACAAAAACGAAUAAAAACUACUAUAGAUAAUUAAGAUGAUAAUAAGGUUACUCACUAUUGCGGGAGUCGAAUUCUGAGUACUCCGAUUCUUAAUCCUCGGGUACUAUCUCUUUACUUUUGCAAGAAUGCUCACCACCUAAACAUAAUGCACAAUAAGCCAUUUACUACAUUUGUGCUAAAUUGUUAUAAAACCAAUUCAGGCUCUAUACUAAUGCAUGAAAUGAAAUGCAAAUUGUUUGGAUUAUCGUCUAAAUACGGUGUUCUACACAAAUUCAAUUGUGUACCUAAAUAAAAGGGUAUUGGCCUAAUUCGAUCUAUCACUCGAUAAUUGGUCAAUAUGUCCAAUUUAACUCCAUUAAUUCCAUUUUUCUUCCAAUUCUCCAAACCAUCAAACACAAGUUAAAUAACUUGAAAUAUGGCAAAAUCACCCUCACAUUUUCUCUUGGAAAAUUCGGCCAUGGUGGGUGCAUCAACACUAUAAUUUUUCAAGCUUGAUUCUCACACCAUAAUAUCACUAAUUCCUAACCAAAUCACUUGAAAUAAAAUCAAAAUCAUCAUCAAUACUCUACAAGGAAUAUUCGGCCAAUGGAGGUUCUUGAGGGGUAUAUGUUUUUUGAUGCUAAACAUUACCAUUUUCGGUUUCCACCACUACAAUUCAUUAAAUUUUAACUAAAUAACGUAAGACAUCACAAGAUUCAUCUUCAAUAUUGUCUUUAUGAAAUUCGGCCAAUGAACACUUGUUUUCCUUCCAAACAUGAUAAAUCAACUAUAAACACUAAAAUAUCUCAAAAUCUAACCAAAUAAAUCAUCAAAUCUUCUCUCUCUAAAUUUGGUUAGCUAUGAAUCCUUCAUGAUAUCUUGUGAUUCAACCAUGGAAAAUGCAAAAGAAUGCAUAGGAAAGGUAGAUCACAAGUCAAAAUCAAGAAAUUUUACCUUUGAUUGCUUGAUUACUUAAAAUCCACCAAUUUUCUCUUGACUUUUCACCCUAGGGUUCUUGUUCUUUCUUUUCUUCCUUUGUUCUUGCUUUG